GACGAACGCUGGCGGCGUGCUUAACACAUGCAAGUCGAACGGAAAGGCCCUGCUUUUGUGGGGUUCUCGAUUGGCGAACGGGUGAGUAACACGUGAGUAACCUGCCCUUGACUUUGUGAUAACUUCAGGGAACUGGGGCUAAUACCGGAGAGGAUCUCCUGCUGCAUGUUGGUGGUUGGAAAGUUUCGGCGGUUGGGGCUGGACUCGCGGCUUAUCAGCUUGUUUGUGGAGUAGUGGCUUACCAAGGCUUUGACGGGUAGCCGGCCUGAGAGCGUGACCGGCCACAUUGGGACUGCGAUACGGACCAGACUGCAACGGGAGGCAGUAGUGGGGAAUAUUGCACAGCGGGCGGAAGCCUGAUGUAGCAACGCCGCGUGCGGGAUGCCGGCUUUCGGGUUGUAAACCGAUUUGGCCUGUGACGAAGAGUGAGUGACGGUAAUGGGUAAAGAAGCAACGGCUAACUACGUG
Molecule: ribosomal RNA, 468 nt
Filed under: uncultured bacterium
Lineage: Bacteria
Description: partial 16S ribosomal RNA
Rfam family: Bacterial small subunit ribosomal RNA
Source: RNAcentral